Molecule: long non-coding RNA, 507 nt
Filed under: Heterocephalus glaber (naked mole-rat)
Lineage: Eukaryota; Metazoa; Chordata; Mammalia; Rodentia; Bathyergidae
Description: lncRNA (ENSHGLG00100042444.1)
Source: RNAcentral
UGGCCUAGGCGUGAAAUAUCCACCUGCAGAUUGUUACCAAUAGCCAUAAAAAGGGAGCUGGAGGGGAAGAUCUCGGCCUGUUGAUUUGCUAGGAGAAGCUUGCUGCAGACAGUUUUCCUGAUGCAAACUAGGCUGUUCUCGUUGAGGAGCUCAGGACCUUGAUGUCCUGGGAAUGGCUGCUAUUUUCAUCAGAGGAGCUCCAACCUUUACUAUAAGCAUCACUUCCUGACUCCAAUAUGGAUCCCUCAGCUUGGUGGCAGAAAUCCUUCAUCUCACCAGCAUAGAUUUCUUUGGCUUUCACCACUGGCCUUUGGGCCUUCCAGAUGUCCUCCUCCAGCCAAGACUGGACCAGGAAUCAAUCUACCAACCAGACUGAUUCUCCACAAAGCCUGAUUCAUUUGAAAUCUGAGGUAUGAAGGCGUCUGACUUACACCACUGCUACCAGCGCAUUCCCCUCGUCAGCCACCUGCCGGCAAUGUCGCAAGCAGCUUCGUUGACUUUCUCCCC